This 105-nucleotide small RNA is filed under the name Paraburkholderia fungorum. Its description in RNAcentral is "sRNA Bp1_Cand684_SIPHT". It matches the Rfam family "Burkholderia sRNA Bp1_Cand684_SIPHT". The record is from RNAcentral. Lineage: Bacteria; Pseudomonadati; Pseudomonadota; Betaproteobacteria; Burkholderiales; Burkholderiaceae.
AGAAAAGUAAGUGCCGCCCCGCACAGGGGCGACGCUAAUAGACCACUAAGAAAGCAGGUUCUACAGAGAGACGCGGAUAACCAACAAAAACCAACCCAGCGCCCC